This 426-nucleotide ribosomal RNA is filed under the name uncultured bacterium. RNAcentral describes it as "bacterial SSU rRNA". It matches the Rfam family "Bacterial small subunit ribosomal RNA", at positions 355 to 774 of the family's 1533-position model. The record is from RNAcentral.
UGGGGAAUUUUGGACAAUGGGCGCAAGCCUGAUCCAGCAAUGCCGCGUGCAGGAUGAAGGCCUUCGGGUUGUAAAGCUCUGUGGGGAGGGACGAACCGCUGCACGUUCAUAGCGUGCAGCAUGACGGUACCUCCUUAGCAAGCACCGGCUAACUACGUGCCAGCAGCCGCGGUAAUACGUAGGGUGCGAGCGUUAAUCGGAAUUACUGGGCGUAAAGCGUGCGCAGGCGGUUUGCUAAGACCGAUGUGAAAUCCCCGGGCUCAACCUGGGAACUGCAUUGGUGACUGGCAGGCUAGAGUAUGGCAGAGGGGGGUAGAAUUCCACGUGUAGCAGUGAAAUGCGUAGAGAUGUGGAGGAAUACCGAUGGCGAAGGCAGCCCCCUGGGCCAAUACUGACGCUCAUGCACGAAAGCGUGGGGAGCAAAUA